Molecule: ribosomal RNA, 253 nt
Filed under: uncultured bacterium
Lineage: Bacteria
Description: partial 16S ribosomal RNA
Rfam family: Bacterial small subunit ribosomal RNA
Source: RNAcentral
UACGGAGGGAGCUAGCGUUGUUCGGAAUUACUGGGCGUAAAGCGCACGUAGGCGGCUUUGUAAGUUAGAGGUGAAAGCCUGGGGCUCAACCCCAGAAUUGCCUUUAAGACUGCAUCGCUUGAAUCCAGGAGAGGUGAGUGGAAUUCCGAGUGUAGAGGUGAAAUUCGUAGAUAUUAGGAAGAACACCAGUGGCGAAGGCGGCUCACUGGUCCGGUACUGACGCUGAGGUGCGAAAGCGUGGGGAGCAAACAGG